GACGAACCACACGAACGUUAUUCGGAAUCACUGGGCUUAAAGGGUGCGUAGGCUGCGCAGCAAGUUGGGUGUGAAAUCCCUCGGCUCAACCGAGGAACUGCGCCCAAAACUGCUGUGCUCGAGGGAGACAGAGGUGAGCGGAACUUAGGGUGGAGCGGUGAAAUGCGUUGAUAUCCUAAGGAACACCCGUGGCGAAAGCGGCUCACUGGGUCUCUUCUGACGCUCAGGGGCGAAAGCGUGGGGAGCAAACCGG
This 253-nucleotide ribosomal RNA is filed under the name uncultured bacterium. Its description in RNAcentral is "partial 16S ribosomal RNA". It matches the Rfam family "Bacterial small subunit ribosomal RNA", at positions 524 to 776 of the family's 1533-position model. The record is from RNAcentral.